RNAcentral lists this ribosomal RNA (452 nucleotides) under uncultured Clostridium sp. Its description in RNAcentral is "bacterial SSU rRNA". It matches the Rfam family "Bacterial small subunit ribosomal RNA", at positions 1 to 455 of the family's 1533-position model. The record is from RNAcentral. Lineage: Bacteria; Bacillati; Bacillota; Clostridia; Eubacteriales; Clostridiaceae.
UAGAGUUUGAUCCUGGCUCAGGACGAACGCUGGCGGCGUGCCUAACACAUGCAAGUCGAGCGGAGAAUGCGGACAUGUUUACAUAGAAGUAUUCUUAGCGGCGGACGGGUGAGUAACACGUGGGUAACCUACCUCAAAGAGGGGGAUAGCCUUCCGAAAGGAACAUUAAUACCGCAUAAGCCUGCAGUACCGCAUGGUAUAGCAGGAUAAGGAGCAAUCCGCUUUGAGAUGGACCCACGGCGCAUUAGCUAGUUGGUGAGGUAACGGCUCACCUAGGCGACGAUGCGUAGCCGACCUGAGAGGGUGAUCGGACACAUUGGAACUGAGACACGGUCCAGACUCCUACGGUAGGCAACAGUGGGGAAUGUUGCAAAUGGGCUAAGCCUGAUGCAGCACGCCACGUGAUGAUGAAGCCUUCGGUCGUAAGUUCUUGAUCUGGAUGAUAUGACGUC